Molecule: small nuclear RNA, 103 nt
Organism: Suncus etruscus (white-toothed pygmy shrew)
Lineage: Eukaryota; Metazoa; Chordata; Mammalia; Eulipotyphla; Soricidae
Source: RefSeq, a predicted model, not a curated record
UCACUUCAGCAGCACAUAUACUAAAAUUGGAACGAUACAGAGAAGAUUAGCAUUGCCCCUGCACAAGGGUCACAUGUAAAUUCGUGAAGCCUUUCAUAUUUGG